UACGUAGGGGGCGAGCGUUAUCCGGAUUCAUUGGGCGUAAAGCGCGCGCAGGCGGCCGGCGAAGCGGGACCGUCGAAGCCGGGGGCUCAACCCCCGGAAGCGGCCCGAACUCGCCGGCUCGAGUCCGGCAGGGGGAGGCGGAAUUCCCGGUGUAGCGGUGAAAUGCGCAGAUAUCGGGAGGAACACCGACGGCGAAGGCAGCCUCCUGGGCCGGCACUGACGCUGAGGCGCGAGAGCCGGGGGAGCGAAC
This 250-nucleotide ribosomal RNA is filed under the name uncultured prokaryote. Its description in RNAcentral is "partial 16S ribosomal RNA". It matches the Rfam family "Bacterial small subunit ribosomal RNA", at positions 524 to 773 of the family's 1533-position model. The record is from RNAcentral.